RNAcentral lists this unclassified non-coding RNA (520 nucleotides) under uncultured Glomus. RNAcentral describes it as "SSU rRNA". It matches the Rfam family "Eukaryotic small subunit ribosomal RNA", at positions 569 to 1097 of the family's 1831-position model. Lineage: Eukaryota; Fungi; Glomeromycota; Glomeromycetes; Glomerales; Glomeraceae. The record is from RNAcentral.
AGCAGCCGCGGUAAUUCCAGCUCCAAUAGCGUAUAUUAAAGUUGUUGCAGUUAAAAGCUCGUAGUUGAAUUUCGGGACUAAUAUGUCGGUCGUGCCUCGGUACGUACUGGUUUAUUGGUUUCUCCUUUCUGAAGAACCAUGAUGUCAUUUAUUUGGUGUCGUGGGGAAUCAGGACUGUUACUUUGAAAAAUUAGAGUGUUUAAAGCAGGCUCACGCUUGAAUACAUUAGCAUGGAAUAAUGAAAUAGGACGUUUGAUUCUAUUUUGUUGGUUUCUAGGAUCGACGUAAUGAUUAAUAGGGAUAGUUGGGGGCAUUAGUAUUCAAUUGUCAGAGGUGAAAUUCUUGGAUUUAUUGAAGACUAACUACUGCGAAAGCAUUUGCCAGGAUGUUUUCAUUAAUCAAGAACGAAAGUUAGGGAUCGAAGACGAUCAGAUACCGUCGUAGUCUUAACCAUAAACUAUGCCGACUAGGGAUCGGAUGAUGUUAAUUUUUAAUGACUCAUUCGGCGCCUUACGGGAAA